ACAUGGGCGGCGACCGGCAAACGUUUGCGGAACACGUACACAACUUUCCUUUAAGUGGGGGAUAGCCCAGAGAAAUUUGGAUUAAUACCCCGUAAAAUUAUGAAGUGGCAUCACUUUAUAAUUAAAGCUCCGGCGCUUAAAGAUGGGUGUGCGGCUGAUUAGGUAGUUGGCGGGGUAACGGCCCACCAAGCCUUCGAUCAGUAACUGGUGUGAGAGCACGACCAGUCACACGGGCACUGAGACACGGGCCCGACUCCUACGGGAGGCAGCAGCAAGGAAUAUUGGUCAAUGGACGCAAGUCUGAACCAGCCAUGCCGCGUGAAGGAUGAAGGUCCUCUGGAUUGUAAACUUCUUUUAUUUGGGAAGAAACCCAUUUUUUCUAGAGUGGUUGACGGUACCAGAUGAAUAAGCACCGGCUAACUCCGUGCCAGCAGCCGCGGUAAUACGGAGGGUGCAAGCGUUAUCCGGAUUCACUGGGUUUAAAGGGUGCGUAGGUGGGCAGGUAAGUCAGUGGUGAAAUCUCCGGGCUUAACCCGGAAACUGCCAUUGAUACUAUCUGUCUUGAAUACCGAGAAGGUGAGCGGAAU
Molecule: ribosomal RNA, 587 nt
Filed under: uncultured bacterium
Lineage: Bacteria
Description: bacterial SSU rRNA
Rfam family: Bacterial small subunit ribosomal RNA
Source: RNAcentral